This 305-nucleotide ribosomal RNA is filed under the name uncultured bacterium. Its description in RNAcentral is "bacterial SSU rRNA". It matches the Rfam family "Bacterial small subunit ribosomal RNA", at positions 333 to 630 of the family's 1533-position model. The record is from RNAcentral.
GUUGUCCUACGGGACGCAGCAGUGGGGAAUAUUGCGCAAUGGGCGAAAGCCUGACGCAGCGACGCCGCGUGAGGGAUGAAGGUCUUCGGAUCGUAAACCUCUGUCAGCAGGGAAGAACGGUCACUGUGCUAAUCAGCAGUGAAUUGACGGUACCUGACUAAGAAGCCCCGGCUAACUACGUGCCAGCAGCCGCGGUAAUACGUAGGGGGCAAGCGUUAUCCGGAUUUACUGGGUGUAAAGGGAGCGUAGACGGCAGAGCAAGUCUGAAGUGAAAGCCCGCGGCCCAACUGCGGGACUGCUUUGGA